GACCAUAGAAGACAGCGCGCUAGCGUAUCUAGUCUUCUAUAUAUAUCUAUGGUCCGCACGUCUGGCAGCAUCUGUGGCUGCUGUUGACUUUGUUUUUGGAGUAAAACACGGUGGAAGCUGAAUUAGUGAGGAUGACUCCUGCUCCUGUCAUCUCUAAGCUCCUCACACAUCUUUACCUGCACAUGAGGAAAAUCACUCCUGUAGAAUGCAGAUGUUCAUAGGGAGAUGAUGCCACAUCUGGUCCAGCUGAUGGAAGGUCUUGAAGUUCUCUGACUGGCCUCGACUGAAGAUGGUCGUCUCACUGGAUUUAAGAUGCACAAUGAGGGACGUCUGCAGAGACUGAGAAAGAGUCUCACCACAUCCUGACAUGAGGAAAAAGACUUUAUUGAAGACUACAAUGAGAAAAACUAUCAGACAGCAGACGGCUGCAUUCAAGUUUAGGCUGUUAGAUUGUUCCAGAUAAGACGAGUACAAGAUUCUUCAGAGCCGUUCUACCAUGAGCCUGACAGGAAGAACUCCAACAGCUACUGAAUGUUCCUGUGGUUCCCUCAAGGCUACAGGAGGAGUCCUACGAGGACGAGCCGGUCCACCUGAUGGCGGCCAGUCGCUGCGGUUCAAAGCCAACACCGACUACGUGGACUUCUACUGGACCACACGGAGGCCUUCAAACCGGACCAACAAGUUCAG
Molecule: long non-coding RNA, 687 nt
Organism: Amphiprion ocellaris (clown anemonefish)
Lineage: Eukaryota; Metazoa; Chordata; Actinopteri; Pomacentridae
Source: Ensembl